UAAACUCGGAAGUAUUAUAGA
Molecule: non-coding RNA, 21 nt
Filed under: Caenorhabditis elegans
Lineage: Eukaryota; Metazoa; Nematoda; Chromadorea; Rhabditida; Rhabditidae
Source: RNAcentral